RNAcentral lists this ribosomal RNA (801 nucleotides) under uncultured archaeon. RNAcentral describes it as "bacterial SSU rRNA". It matches the Rfam family "Archaeal small subunit ribosomal RNA", at positions 79 to 881 of the family's 1478-position model. The record is from RNAcentral.
GCCCUUACUGCUCAGUAACACGUGGACAACCUACCCUCCGGACGGGUAUAAACCCGGGAAACUGGGUAUAAUCCCCGAUAGAUCUCGGUCGCUGGAAAGCCCCGAGAUCGAAAGCUCCGGCGCCAGAGGAUGGGUCUGCGGCCUAUCAGGUAGUAGUGGGUGUAGCGUACCUACUAGCCUACGACGGGUACGGGUUGUGAGAGCAAGAGCCCGGAGAUGGAUUCUGAGACACGAAUCCAGGCCCUACGGGGUGCAGCAGGCGCGAAAACUUUACAAUGCCGGCAACGGCGAUAAGGGGACCUCGAGUGCCAGGUUACAAAUCUGGCUGUCGUGAUGCCUAAAAAGCAUUGCAUAGCAAGGGCCGGGCAAGACCGGUGCCAGCCGCCGCGGUAACACCGGCGGCUCGAGUGGUAACCGUUAUUAUUGGGUCUAAAGGGUCUGUAGCCGGCCGGAUAAGUCUCUUGAGAAAUCCAGCAGCUCAACUGUUGGGCUUUCAGGAGAUACUGUCUGGCUCGAGGCCGGGAGAGGUGAGAGGUACUUCAGGGGUAGGGGUGAAAUCUUGUAAUCCUUGAAGGACCACCAGUGGCGAAGGCGUCUCACCAGAACGGACCUGACGGCAAGGGACGAAAGCUAGGGGCACGAACCGGAUUAGAUACCCGGGUAGUCCUAGCCGUAAACGAUACUCGCUAGGUGUCGGCCACGGUGCGACCGUUGUCGGUGCCGUAGGGAAGCCGUGAAGCGAGCCACCUGGGAAGUACGGCCGCAAGGCUGAAACUUAAAGGAAUUGGCGGGGGAGCACAA